AAUAGAUACCCGGGUAGUCUACGCCGUAAACGAUGCGCACUAGGUUCGAAGGUCUCUGACGAUCCUCGAGCCGAAACAAAGCGUUAAGUGCGCCGCCUGGGGAGUACGGCCGCAAGGCUAAAACUCAAAGGAAUUGACGGGGGCUCACACAAGCGGUGGAGCAUGUGGAUCAAUUCGAAGCAACGCGAAGAACCUUACCUGGGUUUGACAUGUACGGAUGCCCUCGGGGAAACUCGAGUAAGCUGCCUUCGGGUGAAACGUAUACAGGUGCUGCAUGGCUGUCGUCAGCUCGUGCUGUGAAGUGUCGGGUUAAGUCCCUUAACGAGCGAAACCCUUAUCGCUAGUUGCCAGCGGGUCAUGCCGGGAACUCUAGUGGGACUGCCGGCGUCAAGCCGGAGGAAGGCGGGGACGACGUCAAGUCAUCAUGCCCCUUAUGUCCAGGGCUACACACGUGCUACAUUGGCGCAUCAAAGGGCAGCAAUACCGCGAGGUGGAGCGAAUCCCAUAAAGUGCGUCUCGGUUCGGAUUGG
This 530-nucleotide ribosomal RNA is filed under the name uncultured bacterium. RNAcentral describes it as "bacterial SSU rRNA". It matches the Rfam family "Bacterial small subunit ribosomal RNA", at positions 777 to 1301 of the family's 1533-position model. The record is from RNAcentral.